UUCCUGCGCAUGACAUAAAGCCCAACUUCUCCUGGCCUUUACAGUUUGGCUCAGCACCAGAGAACCUCUGUCCCAUCCAACACAAAGGCACCACUUGCAUGACAGGGCCACAUCUCCUAGGCAAAUCUCUCCUCAUGGAAGACACUGGUCUGGCCUCCUGCAGUGCCACGCUCCGUGUAUUUGACAAGCUGAGUUGGACACUCCGUGUGGUAGAGUGUCAGUUUGUCAAAUACCCCAAGUGCGGCAUAUGCCUAGCAGCUCCAGGCCAGGGAAGAUGGAGCACAAUGAAUAGAUUACCUACAAGGACCCAAGGAUGCUCAUCAAGCACCAAGAUCUUACACAUUAUUUUCUGUGACAUUUUGGGAACUGAAGCAUUGUGUCUGAGAGUGCCAGAGGGAAAAUGAGGCAGCUCCGGGAGCUCCAUCUCUGAGCUCCACAUACCAACAUCUUAAGAAUGUUAAAGGAACCCAGUAGUCUUGAAAACUUAUAAGGUACCCAGGAAUAGAUGUGAUCGUUUUUCGUUAUUAUUUUCUUUCUUUACCUUCCCCUACUGAAGUUUCCCAGUCAUAACACCAUGAUCUUCAUACAGAAGCUUCACAGCUUAUUUGAGAAACCAGAGCUUAGUAAUCUACUGUCAGACAAUCUUGACUACUAAAUUCUUGAGCUUUCUUAUUCCGCCCCCCCCCCCAUUUCCUCAUGCUUUUUUCUUUCUAGGAAUAUCUUCUUUGUUUCUUUCCAUCAAAUUCUUCCCCAUGUUUCUUGGCCCAAAGUUCAACCCCUCAGGGUCUUACGAAAGUAAACCUACACGUUUUCUUUCUUUAUUUGCAAAGCACUUCUUGCCUGAGUUCUGGCAUUGCAUUACCUCCUACUGUGGAAUAACGCCUCUUGAAUCAUUGGCAAAAUUUCCAAGGGGUAUUUUUGAAAUUCCUAUUACAGUGAACUUUUAGAAGACCAGGUUGUGUUUUCUUGAUUGUGGUUUCAUUUCAUAGCCAAUUAGCGUGGUUACAGAAAAUAACUGAAUAAAUGUUUACUGAUU
Molecule: long non-coding RNA, 1036 nt
Organism: Ochotona curzoniae (black-lipped pika)
Lineage: Eukaryota; Metazoa; Chordata; Mammalia; Lagomorpha; Ochotonidae
Exons: 2
Source: RefSeq, a predicted model, not a curated record